GAGUGUUUUCGAACACUUAUAAGAAAUCUGCAAACUUUUCACGAUUUGAUGGAAGUUCGAUACAGCAUGGUUUAAUUCGUUUUCGCGAUGCUUAAAGCACGGCCACGAUCAUGGAUCGCAUCAACGAGCAUCGAGAAGGCUAUCAAAAUAACGAACCUAUCUCAUUUCAAAGUGCUUUACGCGCGCCUGGCUGGGUUUAAAACGAGCCAAGAUCCGUUGCAUACACGUGCAACCGGCCCUUUCACCUGAAACCCAAACGGUUCAUCCCAGCAUCUGCUCCAUUGAUGUCUCCUACCUUGUGAUUAGUUGGCGGUGAACCGCCAAAAAUUCGAAGAACCACGAAUACCCUUACGUGUGUGUAUGCAUCUUGAAGAAAGCAACCAAGCACCUCAUCCAAGAUCCUCGCUUGGUUUCCUCAAGAUUUUCGCUCGAAUGCGUACAAAUACGAUCGUCGAAUCGAUGAUCGAUCCACAAAGUGGUCGAUCUAUAAAAAUAGAGGAGGGUUGUUCGCUCUGGUUGGCCACUAUUCCGUAACCAAGGACAUCAAAGUGUUUUCUGUAUCGCAGUUCGGAUUUUCCUUCGGUUAACUUUCCUCCCUUUGUUCAUCCGGGAGGGAAAGAAAAAGUUGGGAGUCGUUCCUAUCCUGUACCGUCAUUUCUUCCCAGCGAAGAUUUUUGCGAAAGUUAUCGAUAAUUCAUUUUAAGUGGUACAUUACAAUUGGAAACUCUAUAGGAAAGUUUCGACGGAAGACAAACUUCCAGAGGCGGUCGAACUCUUCAACAAAGUGAAAUACAUAAUGCAUGCCUAGCUGGAACAUAAUUAAGCAAGGCGGAGAGGAGAGACGAAGUUUUAACCGAUUUACUUCGUCCUCCAGCGCGAGCUAGACAAUUCAACCUGAGUUCUUGAAGGGAACUUCACGUCUUGGAAUAUGGCCGCGAUCGUUUUAACGAUCAUCUUUCAUCUGUUGCGAUACUGUUGAUUUCUUUUUACGAUGAGGUGAUACCAUGUAAUUGGAUUAUAAGUCCACUAACUCUUUCCUCCACUAUCGUUCCUUUAUACAUGGUAAAAGAUCGUAUAGUUGGGUUCAUACUCACCUUUUUGAAACUUAUUUAUCAGCGAGCAAUUAUUAUGGACGAAGAAAUUAAUUUGAAGCUCUUGAUAAAAUAAAAUUACCAUUCAUCCAUCAUCGAUCAUGAAAUAAAAGAUUUCUGAGAUUUCUUUCAUCACUUUAACUAAUAAAUCAUCGAUUAAGUUUUGCUGUUAAUUCUCUAAUUUAGAAUAUUCAUAAUAAUUCAUAUAAAUAAUGGAAACGUAACAAAGAGUAAAUUAUUUUAACUAUGUUGGUUCGAAUAAAUAUUCCAUUACGUUUCUUUUUUUUUAUACAUAUAAAAUAUUUAUAGAAUUGUUCUUGCAAGGGGAUUUAAUUGAGUGGAGAAUUAGCACGAUUGUACAAACAAUCGGAUAUAGGGAAACGACGUUACCGGUUCUUGCACGGCUUUGAUCGUUAGCCUGUAAAUUUUCGUACCUCCAUGUUAGCCGAUCGUGGAUUCGGCUAACUCAUGAGAGGUCUGGAUAUCGGGAAAAUGGAUGGUGGAUGUAACGAUCGGUUACCUCUACUAAACGUUUCGCUGUUCACCAGAAUUGCUGAAUGUAAACUGUCUAUUACCGACGUUUGGACCUGAUCGUUGUACGCUUCUGUUGAGUGCGCAUUUAUCAGCAUUGUACGCUCUAUAUAUAUAUAUAGGAUACACGAUACGAUAUAGAUUUUCUACGAUCGUUCCUCUGUCUGGAGGAUUUAUCUUUGCUCGACCAGGUAUUGGCCAAUAUCGGUUACGAUGAAUAUGUAACGAGAAAAGUAAUUUUUGCGUGUAUCGCUCUCUCGGAUCGAUCGAACUUUUUCAUCGUGCACGGCCUCCUUGGACGUUUUAAAAAAGAUAUUCCACUCCAGUUUAUAGGUAUUAACGCGAACUUUGUGCGUUAAAUGGGGUUUGAAUAACAAGAGGAUCGCUUAAAAUGUGUUCCAGUAUAUAUGGACACGAUAUUAUAUCAAGAUAGCUUCUCUGUGGUCUAUUAAAGCUUGGCCAUUGACAAGCCUUGUACUUGUGAUCAAAGCUGCACCUAUCUCUCUGUACAUACAUAGUUUAUUAAUCACUUUGCCGUGUACCAUGCAAGAUUUUAAUUGAACGUUAAAUUCUUAAAAAUUAUCCGUUCGUCUCCGAUGCAACGAAUUUCGAUAUAUCUUUCCCGUCACUCGAAAACCCCCUGUUAUUAACUUUGUACGUAUAUCGUAUCUUUCAAAAGAUACUACAUUUAAAUAAAAUAUAAAUUUAUUAUUAAAUCGAUGGAAUAAUUUAUUCUAAAGUUUUUCUUUAAUCACCGAACAUGGUAAAUGGAUAAUAACGAGUUAAUAAUACGAAAACGUUUUAAAAUCUCUUCGUUUCGAUAUUUUGCCACGAUUUUUCAUACAUUGUAUAUAAACUUCGCGUUCUCAGAAGUCUUCGCAUCGAUAUUUUUUUGCAGAACAUUCGAAUUUUGCAUUCGAAUUCAUUUCAUAUUUUCAUAUUCGUUUGAAAAACUUCUAAAUACUCGAUUCCCCGCUCGUCUUUCAGAACUUUCGAGUGUCACGAGUAAUUAACACGUUUACCCAACGGUGAUAUCCACGGUAAAGGUCCACCAAAAAGGAAAGUGUAAUUCAAUGUCGGACCCAUGGACGUAUAUACACGAGAGGACAGAGAAGUAACCGCACGAUAACGCGGCAUUCCAGCAUGAGAGGAUAGUAAUUAAGACCUCAACUGGUCCCAAGGGACUUUGUGCACCGUCUCUCUAUAUCUUAUCGCAUGGCUCGCCCGACUGGAUGUCCAUGCAUUAUAUCUAUGGGUUUAUUCACCCAAGAGGGCAGUUCCGUAUCGUGAAACGAAUCGUUGUACACGUAGACAGAGUUCGAUCUUGUGUUUUCUAAUUAUCGAUCAGAUUCCUCGAACGGGCGUCCUCGCUUCUUCAUAGAUGUAUCAGGUGUUUCGAGUGGAACGUUUGAAAAACCUGAGUCAAUUAAGACACACUCUGUCUUGGAAAUUUUUACAAGCCCUCGGUAUCGAUUCGGAUACACUCGUAUCGUGGUCUAGAGAAUGGAGGAUGGAGAAUAAAAUUACAUGUUCAGUAUCAAGGAUGACACAAACUUUGAAACCUUUAAAUCCAAAAUUUAAAAUGUUUCGAGAUUUCGAAUCUUGAAACUUUUUUACGAUUCUCUAGAUAAACAACGAUUAUAAAUAAGGAGUUUCGUGAGAGAUUUUAAUUGAUAAGAAUUUAUUUCUAAAGGAAUGUGAAUCGACGAAUGUGUUAUAAAUAUCGACUCGAUAGUUAGCGAAGACUUGGAAUUAGUCGCAAGAUGGCCGAUCGACCGGCGAAAUCAUUAAAUUGUCAGGAAAUUGAACCGGUUUAGACGAGUGCAAAGUAAUCUCGAGACGUGGAUAAAAAUACGGAUGGAAAGCUGGUCGUACGGCAAUUAUAUCGGCACGACUUAACGCAUAACGAUCAUUUUUUCCGACGCCGGGCCGGUAACAUGGGAAAAUAGUUUAAUAUCGGCGAACCGGUUUGACGCCGCUCGUUUUGAGAUGGCGGCGGUGACGUUCGGUCAUGCAACCCGUGUUAUACCUUUGAAAAUAAGAGCAAGAAGAGUAUCGUUGAUGAGCAUGCACCGAGAGAAUUUAAAGAGACGCGCAAAGAACACGAAACCAUUAUCGUGUUGACUAAUUGCGGAAUUUUAUAACAACAGAUGGCCAGUGGACAUCUUGAGAAUGACAGAAUUUCAAACAGGGAUAAAUUUUUAUAUGAGAAAG
Long non-coding RNA from Apis mellifera (honey bee), 3836 nucleotides. RefSeq lists it as uncharacterized. The transcript has 3 exons. The record is from RefSeq and is a predicted model, not a curated record. NCBI's taxonomy places the organism in Eukaryota, Metazoa, Arthropoda, Insecta, Hymenoptera, Apidae.